AAUCCAUCAUGUGGGCAUCUUUGUAUUAACAUUUUAAAACGCUUUCAAGCUUCGUGAAAGCUUUCUCCUUCUAGCUAUUUAAAUGUCAUGAGUUU
RNAcentral lists this small nucleolar RNA (95 nucleotides) under Gossypium hirsutum (cotton). RNAcentral's name for it is "Plant small nucleolar RNA R71". It matches the Rfam family "Plant small nucleolar RNA R71". From Rfam's summary of the family: R71 is a member of the C/D box family of snoRNAs containing the C (UGAUGA) and D (CUGA) box motifs. Multiple nearly identical copies of this snoRNA have been identified in Arabidopsis, and it is thought to function as a 2'-O-ribose methylation guide for 18S ribosomal RNA. Lineage: Eukaryota; Viridiplantae; Streptophyta; Magnoliopsida; Malvales; Malvaceae. The record is from Rfam by way of RNAcentral. RNAcentral also lists the same sequence under 1 other name.